Molecule: long non-coding RNA, 1331 nt
Filed under: Gallus gallus (chicken)
Lineage: Eukaryota; Metazoa; Chordata; Aves; Galliformes; Phasianidae
Description: lncRNA (ENSGALG00010028223.1)
Source: RNAcentral
AGCUGCUCCUCACAAGCCACAUUUUUAACUGAGUGCUGAUUUAAAAUCAAGUUUGACAAAUAGCAUGUUGGGGUUGUCAGGUCCUGGAGCACUGUCUUCCAGGAAGUAUGAAAAAGGCACCAGAGGAGAGCUUGGCAUAGACUCCCAUAUGACAGUAAUUAAAGGCUUUUGCACUCGGGCUCUGGGAGCUGCUCCUCUUGUAAAUUGGCCUUGAUUGAAGAGGAAGAGAAUGAUUAGACUGGAGGAGAGUGAUGGGGGUGGCAGGAGAAAAUGCAGAGAGAUGCAAACAAGCCUUGAGAGGGGCAGACAAGAUUUACCCAGGAAGCAAUAGGAGCCCUUGAGCCCCGAUGCCAAUAAUCCUCAUCUGGAGUCAGUCCCGUUGGCUCCAGCCACUGCUGAGCUUGCUGGUGGAGAAAACCACUGCAUUGGAUCAAAUCAAUGUUAAAGGAAACUUCACAGAAGUCAAUAGCUAGUGGUCAAGAAGAGUUGCCAGACUCUUGCUUUCUCAGUAACUAAUAAAAGUGCUUUUUAGCACAAUUAAUGUGAUGUCUUGCUGAAGACUGAAGGAAAUCGGAAUUGAAACAUUUCUAUUUUGACAGACUCAGUGGAAAACUUCUGUUCAGACUGGUAGGAAUGAGACCAAUAAAUUUCUGUAAAAACUUUCUGAAUUCAGCCUUCAAGAUAAUAGAUAGGCUGUUCUGACUGUGGAUAAAUAAACUCUGUUUUAGUAAGCGUUUAAAGACUUUCAGGAUGACGAAGUGGAACAUACUUCAAGUCUCCAAAGAUGGGAAGUGGCUUCUGAGUCAAAUACCAAUCCAUGCCAGGGCUCAUAUUUUAGACUGAGGUCACUCUUUUGUGACUUGCUGACAGUGGUUUUUUUUUGUUGUUGUUUUGCUGUUGUUGUUGUUUUUGUGUUUUGAAGGAAAAAAGAAGAAAGAAAAAAGAAAAAGAAAACAUCACAGGCUGAAAAUAACAGUAAAACACUCCGCAGCUGCAAACCUGCUCUUAAAAAAAGCUUCCCAGGGGACAUAAAGCUUCAGCUACAGCCCAGAAAACCAGCUCAUCAAGCAACUAGUGAGGUGGAAAACCCUAACUUGGGUGACAACAGGCCCACCUGUUGCUCAUUUCUGUCAAGGCACCAGAAGACGCCAGGAAAUCUUUGUUCCCACCAGCAAGUACUCAAAGGGCAGCCUCAAGGUGGGAGCAUCUCUCUGCCUUCCCAUUUUGUGAAGACCAUCUCAACUUGCAGCUCUUGCCUGCUCAGGCCAUCCCAAAAGCAGGUGGUGGAAAGGCUGGAUCAGUACCUUCUGGAAAAGCAAGGCAGGUCUCCC